AGACAGACUGGAUCAGUCUGAUUUUACGUACAUCAGAAACCAACCUAAACAAGAGCAUAAGCCCCCCACCAGCACCCGGCAGUCCAUCAUCUCAGAGAAGAAUGACGCUACACUCCCAUACCACUCCUCCUACGCAUCCCAGAAUGCUUUAGGGCGUGGCGGUGACGGGGAGCUGCUGUCCUUCAGUCUGGACAACACCUUCAGAGAGAUGAACGAGUUCCAGGAAGACCCAUCCCUUUUCCUGGAGGAGGGGAGCUGGGAGGGGGAGGAGUCGGAGAUCUGUGACCCCACCUUGACCCUGCUCAACAUGCAUCACUUUCAGGAGGAGUUCCUGCCCCUGUAUGACCUCCACCACUCAUUCCUCUGGCUGACGUUCUCAGGGCAGAGUGAGGAGGAGUUACUGGGCCACCUGGAGAUUG
Salvelinus sp. IW2-2015 is the source of this 419-nucleotide non-coding RNA. NCBI's taxonomy places the organism in Eukaryota, Metazoa, Chordata, Actinopteri, Salmoniformes, Salmonidae. The record is from RefSeq and is a predicted model, not a curated record.